Molecule: ribosomal RNA, 467 nt
Filed under: uncultured bacterium
Lineage: Bacteria
Description: partial 16S ribosomal RNA
Rfam family: Bacterial small subunit ribosomal RNA
Source: RNAcentral
GACGAACGCUGGCGGCGUGCUUAACACAUGCAAGUCGAACGGAAAGGCCCUGCUUUUGUGGGGUGCUCGAGUGGCGAACGGGUGAGUAACACGUGAGUAACCUGCCCUUGACUUUGGGAUAACUCAGGAAACUGGGGCUAAUACCGGUUAGGAGCUCCUGCUGCGGGGGGGGGGUGGGAAAGUUUCGGCGGUUGGGGAUGGACUCGGGGCUUAUCAGCUUGUUGGUCGGGUAGUGGCUUACCAAGGCUUUGACGGGUAGCCGGCCUGGGAGGUUGACCUGCCACAUUGCGACUGCGAUACGGCCCAGUCUCCUACGGGAGGCAGCAGUGGGGAAUAUUGCACAAUGGGCGGAAGCCUGAUGCAGCAACGCCGCGUGCGGGAUGACGGCCUUCGGGUUGUAAACCGCUUUCGCCUGUGACGAAGCGUGAGUGACGGUAAUGGGUAAAGAAGCACCGGCUAACUACGUG